This 497-nucleotide ribosomal RNA is filed under the name uncultured bacterium. RNAcentral describes it as "partial 16S ribosomal RNA". It matches the Rfam family "Bacterial small subunit ribosomal RNA", at positions 28 to 507 of the family's 1533-position model. The record is from RNAcentral.
GAUGAACGCUGGCGGCGUGCCUAACACAUGCAAGUCGAGCGAACAGACCAGGAGUUUGCUCCUCUGACGUUAGCAGCGGACGGGAGAGUAACAUGUGGAUAACCUACCUCUCCGAAUGGGAUACUUUCAGGAGACAAGAGCUAAUACCGAAUAAUAUAUUGACCCGCAUUGUUCCAUCGUGAAAGUCGCUUUUGCUGUCACUAAUAGCUGACUCCGCGCAGCAUUAGCUAGUUGGUAAGGUAACGGAUUACCAAGGCUGCGAUGCGUAGACGACCUGAGAGGGUGGUCGCCCACACUGGAACUGAGACACGUCCCAGACUCCGACGGGAGGCAGCAGUAGGGAAUCUUACGCAAGGGGGGAAAGCCUGACGGAGCAACGCGGCGGGAGGGAUGAAGGUGUUCUGACGGGAAAGCGCUGUUGUUAGGGGAGAACAAAUGUGUAAGUAACCAUGCACGUCUUGACGGUACCGAAUCAGAAAGCCACGGCUAACUACGUG